AACUUAGGAGGCGAGCGUUAUCCGGAUUUACUGGGCGUAAAGCGCGUGCAGGCGGUACGUUAAGUCGUGCGUGAAAGCUCCCAGGCUUAACCGGGAGAGGUCGUGCGAAACUGGCGCACUUGAGGUUGAGAGAGGCAAGUGGAAUUCCGGGUGUAGUGGUGAAAUGCGUAGAGAUCCGGAGGAACACCAGUGGCGAAGGCGGCUUGCUGGCUCACACCUGACGCUCAGACGCGAAAGCAUGGGGAGCGAACGGG
This 254-nucleotide ribosomal RNA is filed under the name uncultured bacterium. Its description in RNAcentral is "partial 16S ribosomal RNA". It matches the Rfam family "Bacterial small subunit ribosomal RNA", at positions 524 to 776 of the family's 1533-position model. The record is from RNAcentral.